UCAGAAACUCAAAGGAAGUUGACGGGGCCCGCACAAGCGGUGGAGUAUGUGGUUUAAUUCGAUGCAACGCGAAGAACCUUACCUAGGUUUGACACCCGGAAAACCUUCCCGAAAAGGAAGGGUGCCCUUCGGGGAAUUCCGAGACAGGUGCUGCAUGGCUGUCGUCAGCUCGUGCCGUGAGGUGUUGGGUUAAGUCCCGCAACGAGCGCAACCCUAUUGCCAGUUGCUACCAGGUAAUGCUGGGCACUCUGGUGAGACUGCCCCGGUUAACGGGGAGGAAGGUGGGGACGACGUCAAGUCAUCAUGGCCCUUACGCCUAGGGCUACACGCGUACUACAAUGGCGCAUACAAAGGGCAGCGAUACCGCGAGGUGGAGCCAAUCCCAAAAAGUGCGUCCCAGUCCGGAUUGCAGUCUGCAACUCGACUGCAUGAAGUUGGAAUCGCUAGUAAUUCGAGAUCAGCAUGCUCGGGUGAAUGCGUUCCCGGGCCUU
RNAcentral lists this ribosomal RNA (491 nucleotides) under uncultured Desulfovibrio sp. RNAcentral describes it as "bacterial SSU rRNA". It matches the Rfam family "Bacterial small subunit ribosomal RNA", at positions 893 to 1382 of the family's 1533-position model. Lineage: Bacteria; Pseudomonadati; Thermodesulfobacteriota; Desulfovibrionia; Desulfovibrionales; Desulfovibrionaceae. The record is from RNAcentral.